UAUAACUCUGCAAUUUUAUCUAGCAUUCUUUUCUUCUACUGGUGACAUGUACACACACACACACACACACACACACACACACACACAUACAUACACACACGCACUUAUCAGCAAUCUUCUAUCCUCCUCUUUAAACCAGCUGGUUUUGUCACAAAUGAAGUAGACGCGUGUGACAUUUGGUGCCGAAACCCAGGACAGGAGGACUCCUUCGGGAGACCGGUCCCCUGUCCUCACCCUCACUCCAUGAGGAGAUCCACCUGUGAACUGGGGUCGUCAGACCAAACAACCCAAGGAACAUCUCACCAAUUUCAAAUCAGCUUGAAACAUGUCUGGGAUGGCUACAACUCCAUUUUGGACCAGGAAGACAAGGGACCUAACUUAGAAAUGGUGGAGGAGAAAGCUUCAGUCAGCUUGGGGUCCAGAGGAUGGUAUGGCCUCUAUACCAGCUCCGGAAUGCUUCCAUAUGGACUUUUACAAGAAAGAAAAAUAACUGUCACUAAUUUUUGUGUCUUUGUCAUUCCUGGGACAACCUAAUGCUAAAUAAUAUAUCUACCCUAAGCCUUCUCUACUCCCCUAGGUUUGACCAUUUCCUCUUUGUGAUCCUUCUGCUCUUUGUUCAUGAUUCUAUCAUAGCACCUUCCAUAAUGUAUUGUCAUAACUUAUGCACCUCACAUGUAGGCACAUAAUUUGACUGACUUUGUUGAAACCUGUGAAUAGAUUUCAGCCUGUUAAUUUGAACCUCUAUUCUCUUAUGUAUUAUUGUAAUUUAAAAAUUUUUUAUUCUUCUAAUUAGAUUGCAAGCUCUUUGAGCACAGGAACCUUUUCUUAUUCAUCUUUGUAAAAUGUCCCUUUCGUUCUUCCUUAUAUUCUCUAUUUCUAUGCUGAGAAUUUCUGUCUAUUUGUUUCAAGAGUGUUUACCCUUGCUUCUUAGAGAAUUUUUAUAAUAGCUGCUUUAAAAACUGUCAGAUAAUUCUAACGUAUGUGUUAUUCUGUUGUUGGCAUCCAUUGAUCGUCUUUUUUCAUACGAGUUGAGAUUGUACUUAUUCUUCCAAUGCUGUUAUUUUGGGUUGUGCCUGGACAUUUUGAAUAUCAUAAGGCUCUUAGCCUGUGAUGGUUAAUUUUAGGUGUCAGUUUAACUGGUUUAAGGGAUACCUAGAGAAGUGAUAAAGCAUUAUUUUUCGGUGUGUCUGUGAGGGUGUUUCCAAAGGAGAUUGGCAUGUGCAUCUGAGUGGACUCAGUGGGGAAGAUCCACCCUCAAAGUAGGUAGGCACCAUGCAAUUGGCCGGGGGCUUAGCUAGAACAAAAACAAAGGAAAGGCAGGUUGGUCUCUCUCUCCCUCUCCCUCAGAACCGGGAUACACUCUUUUUCUCUUUGGACAUCAGAAAUUCAGUUUUUUUGGCCUUUGGACAACAGGACUUAUACCAGUAGCCCUCCAGGUUCUCAAGAUUUUAGAUUUGUACUGAGUCAUGCUACUGACAUUCCAGGGUCUCCAGCUUGCAGACGGCCUGUCAUGGAAUUUCUUGGCCUCUAUAAUCACAUAAGCCAACUCCCCUAAUGAAUCCCCUCUCAUAUAUGUCUCUAUCUAUCGAUCUACCUACCUACGUACCUAUCUGUCUAUUUUCUAUCGCUUCUAUCUCUCUGAAGAAUCCUAACUACCACAGGGCCUUUUUGAAAUCCUAUGAAGGAAGCUGAUAUUUUUGUUUGAACAGACAAUUGACCUGGCUGCAUGUUUUGAUUGUACUUCUGAGUUUGGCACUGUCUUGAGUUCAGGUUAGGGGAUAUUGGAGGGAAAAAAUAUGAAAGUCAUUGCCAGUUUAAAGAUACUUCAAAUUCUAAUCUUCUCCAGUACAUCUGCUAUCUUUAUUUUUCAGAGUCUGAAAAUAGCUGUUCCACGCAUUCUGUCUAGGUUUUAUACUUACAUUCAGUGGGUGAAAUAGAAUGAAUUUUGCUUACUCCAUCUUACCCAGAACUAAAACUUACUAAGUCAUUUUUAAAAACAUAUGUCCUCAAUUUCUGUAGAGGUUAAAAAGAAGAAAUGGCCAUACAAAUAAUGAUUCUGAGUUUCUAGUACAGUCCUUAAGAUGUAUCUUGAUACAUUAUAGGGUUUAAAGUGUUGUACGCAAAGCAGUUGGGAAAUGUGGAAAGUGCAUAAACCUUGGAAUUAGACAGUCCUAGCUACAUUUCAUAGAAAUAGAAAAUAGAUUAAUAUGAUACACUCUGAGAGAAUUAAAUCAUAUCAUGUAUGACAAUUCUCCAGCAUACAUAAGGUAGAAAAUAAAUGUUAAUUUCACCUCCUUUUAGAAUUUAGUAUCAGGAAAAGAUUGCCUGCAGAAAUAGCAUAUUUCUUUUAAUUUUUUUAAUUAAACAUUUUUUUUAGAGAUAGGGUCUCAC
Molecule: long non-coding RNA, 2391 nt
Filed under: Homo sapiens (human)
Lineage: Eukaryota; Metazoa; Chordata; Mammalia; Primates; Hominidae
Description: HSALNT0316393
Source: RNAcentral